GACUGAAAGGUCACGGCAAUGGCUCUGCUCCCGCACUGUGGUUUAUUUUCUUAUUCUUUCAGUGACCCCAAAGUCAGGAUUUGGUUGGGACUCGGGAGAGCCGAGAGAACGCUGAAGGAUGAAGAUGGAGAAAAACUUGCAAGUGGAGGAGAGCAGCUCUUCCUAGCAGCGUGCAACCGUUUUUCAAAAUGCAUCUGGUGAGCAAGGUAAAAAUACAAAGCCAGCUCUCAAUGUAUUUUUGCUUCCCACCGUUUCCUCCUGGAGCUGGCUGAGGCAGCUUCGGGCUUCCCCAGCUUUUUGGCAGAUGGCUCAGAGACUGACCCUCUCCCCACAUAUGAACUGCUGUGGAGCUUCUCCCGAGGAUCUCCGGGGGCCCCGCACCACUCACAGCCUGAAAUAGCCUCUUUCCAUUUCAGUAUUCUCUUUUUCCCACAUCCGAUCUCACUGGGGAUAAUGGAGUCAGGAAUGGGCAUGGGACCCUUAAAAACUUUUGUAAGAAUCAUGGAGACAUGGUCCUACUUAAAUGCCUCCCUAGCUGUGAUGGUCACUAAAAGUUUGACAGCAUGUCCCGGCUGCUUCCUUUAAUCUCAUCCUCUGCCUGUCUGUAUGUCUGUCCGUCUCCAUCUGUCUCUCCAGUCGUCUACAAGGACUCGGAGCUCUUGGAAGCAGAAGGUGCCUUUUUGUUCCAUGUUUGUGCUGUGCCCGGUAUAGGGGGGUCCUCAUGCAUGACUGCAGUUCAAAAUACUGUGCAAAAUAAUGAAUCAUCAGUUAAAUAAUGUUGAGCCAAGUUCAUGACAGUGAGACAAGACUUAUUCUGUGACAAGUGUCUCCCUCUGGAAUAGUUUCAUCAGACUCAGCUGUGUGCAGAAAAUGGGCUGAAGACUUUAACAAAGGUAAUAUUCAUAUUUCAUGAUGACAUGGUCCCACAAUGUAUUUCAGCAUAGCUUUACACAAGAACAGCAAAGUUGGUUCUUGCUAAAACAGAAACAGACUUUGAUUAGAAUCUGUUUCUUGAAGAUCAACAAAUUGCUUCACAACUUUCAGGGAAAAAAGCUUAAAGGACAUUCCUGAAAAGAUUUUUUUUUUUUUUUUUAAGAAAAUAUCGUCAGGAAAUCAGGAAAUCCCAACAGACCAACAAGCUCAAUUUUUUUUAAUGUUAGCCAUCAGGAAAAUCUGCUUUUGAUUUGGAAACUGAAGGGACUAAACUGCAGUAGAGAAGGUUUCAGAGCCUCAUUCAGUAGUUUUUACAUAUAAAAGUAAGAACUAAGGAGGAAAACAAAGAAGUGAGGCUGUUGUUGACUUCAGACAAGGCUGGGGCAGUUCUGGAGGCAUUUUGUGGAAUCCAUGUAUGGAGGCCUUGGUACGAACCUCAUAGGCUUCUGUUGAGAAACAGUGCUUCAGGACAUAGGCAAAGAUAUGGGGGUCAUGUGAAGAAGAACAGAGGUGCUGCAAGUGAUGGGAGGGACAUUCAGCCCAUCCAAGGUGGUCUCACAGAAUGACAGAACGGCAGGGGUUGGAAGGGACCUCUGGAGACCCUCUUGUCCAACCCCCCUCCUUGAGCAGGCACACCCAGAACAGGGGCACAGGAACGUGUCCAGGCAGGGUUUGAAUGUCUCCAGGGAAGGGACUCCACAGCCUCUCUGGGCAGUCUGUGCCGCUGCUCUGGCACCCGCACAGCAAAGAGAGAAGUCUCUUCAUGUCUUUCCAUGGUCUCUCCAAGUGGUACAACUGGCAUCAGAGCCUGGUGGCUUCAGCAACGUGAAUCUCAUGUUAGGUGUGAGCAGCAACCGACAGGUAUGUUACUGCUCCAGCACUGCUGCUGAGGACAUAGAGCCCUGCGAAGCUGAGGAGAUGUUUGUAACCAUAGAUUGGUUGGUUUUCUCCUGGGAAACAAAUUCUUAACCUGUGUGAAACGCAAUUGCUGUUUCUUCUGUGUAUACGUACGAGAUUGGUGUCUUCUGGGUAGAAGAGCCUCAUAUUUAAGCUUCAUCUCUAUUUACUGUGUGUUGCAAGGGAGUAAUGGUCAACUGUCCUCAAACCACUGUGGAAAUAUCUAAUCUAAGCUGUGAUUUGUUCUGCUAUUCCUCACAUUUCAGUUAGACACCACGUGGCAGCUGGGAAGGAGGAUGGGGUGAGAAAGGGAGGGACACAGGCAGCUCACAUGCAAAAUAUGGAUGUGUCUUUCCUUAAUGCUACCAUUAAUGGUCUAAAUUAAACUGCUCUUAUUUGGCGAGAGUGUUUGAAUCAGUGAGUCAUCUCAGAAAACACAACAGCAUUUGCUGGCAUAUGCUGGCUCUGGGUGAUGCUCUCCAACACACUUUUUGGUGGUGAUUACCGGCGUGUGGAAGCAAGUAAUUAAUGUUCUUUGGAAUCUCUCUAUCAUCCUGCAGAGUGGUCGUGUCAGUGUUUUGAGGAUACAGUGGGAGUCCAUGGAGCUGACUUCAGAGCUGAAUGAGCUGAAAGGAGGUCUUGGCCAUAACUCUGGAGCAGACGCAGUAGGGAUCCACUGGCUGAUCUGAGACGUUCUUCAGUGCAGCAUGAAUACUCUUGUGCUGUGAACUGAGCGUGGCUCUGACGAGUGCUAUAGCCAAAACCACCUAAUCAGAGGAGCAACAAUAGAGCCAAUUACCGCUGAGGCUGUGCUUUCAGCCACUCAUGCAUGUGCCACGGUCAUUCAUUCACUUCCUCCGUUUAGAUAGUCUUGUAGACUUUGAGACAGGCAUGUGUUUUCUCAGGCAGGAGCCCUUCCUUUUCUUCCACGCAUCUUUACAGAUAUUCGAACCAAAGGUUUCUCCCUCUGGGCUGUGUCAUUUUCUUUGCUGUUUCUGUGGCGAGGCAGGUGAUUUAAGCCUUUUGAUAAAACAUAGCUCUGCUCUGUCUCUCUCUUUGCCUUUAAAGUAUUGACAGCGUUGAGUGUUGGUCCAGGUAUCAAACAAGAGAGCACAGUGCUUGGAGUCUGGCUCCCUUUCUGAUGGUUGUAGGUGAUCUGAAACCUCAGCCCAGCUGUCUUUCAUUUAUAUAUCUGCAAUGAUUCCUUUGUAGUCCAGGGUACAAAAUAUCAAACCCAGAUUUCUUUUCCCCUGCCCACACCUCUUAAAACUGGGCAACCUACAAAGAUGAAUAUUUGGCUGUGUUAGUGUCCCCACAGUAAGAGAUGUUUUCAUUACCUUCUUCUCUCCAUACUUCUCUAAUCUGAGUAAUUCUUCUUAUAGUUUGACAUUUGGUCCAUCAUAUUUAAGUAUUUUUACACCAAUGUCUGGGCUGGGAGAUUCCUAUUAAAAAAAAAAACAACCCAAUCCAACAUAUUCCCUGGCCAAAGUUCCCUGUAGUUCUUUAUGUAUCUUUCUUUUGAAGAGUAAUCAACACCAUGAAGAAAGAGGAUCUGUCUUUGAGGAUCAGCCAGGAAUACACUGCUGUCUCAAAGAGUUUGCAAAGAUUCACUUUAUGCACAGCAGUAAAAAGACUUUCUGUAAUACCAUUUAGAAUUUUAAUGGAAAAGUGAGUAGAAGGACCAAAGAGCAGGUGUGAAUGAAGAUCUUUGCCUACACCUUCAUUGUAUCUUUCUGCCCUUUCUUGGCCCCUUUGGCCUUUACCCUUUCCCACUGUCCAGCUUCCCCAUCCUGCCCUUACUGUGCCCACUUGCUCUCCUCUCCCUCUGCCCUAAUCUCUGACAAAUGUCACCAAUUUAAAUGUUAUUUUCUUUGGGCGUGGACCACUGUCUGGUUAGCCUGUGUCCUCCUAUCCAAACCCCCAUCUCAGCCUGGCUCUCUAACAUCUGGGGCCAUCUGGCCCUCAUCUCAGACCCAUUGUGGCUGAAGAGGAACUGUUACUCUCAUUCCAAGUUUCCCUUUCUCCCUUUUACAAUCACUGGCACUAUCACCCCCUCUUAUCCAUCACUUGAGCUUACAACCUGGAUGUCAUCCUCACUCUAGACUUUCCUCUUUAUUCUCAAGGUUGUGUAGACACUUCCUCCACAGCUUCUCCCAGACAUGGCCUUUCCUAUCAUUUACACAAUGAAGAUGCUGUGCAGGCUCUUUCCUCUCACAUUUUGAGUCCUGCAGCAUCUUCUUCUGGGCAGAUCCAGCCUUUGCCCACCAUUGUCCACCCAACCUGUUGCUACACACUGUUUUUCUAGCCCAUCACUGCUGAUCACGUUCCCCACCCACCUUUCCCCUGGUCUCCCUUGGCUACCCGCAUCAAUCCCUUGCUUCAUGCCAGGUUCUUACAAAUGAGCUCUGAGGCAAGGACCUCUUCAGCUCUGCGUUUCCACAGGAUCUGGUUCUUGAGCCAUGACUGCAGAUCCAAGAAUAAGAAUAGCAACAACGUGCAAGCUGAUUCCAGCCCAAGUCAGUGGAGGCCAGAAGUUGCUGUGCCCAGAAGUGUGUUCAUAAAUCAAUGUGAAAUGCGCUGUCUGAGCGUAGCUCCCAGUAGACACACAUCUGCAUAACACAUACCACUGACACCACUGGCGAUGGGAAAAAUAUCUAAAAAUAUCAUUCCCACAGCUGUGGAGGAAUAAUAAAGAUGUCUAAUUCCCCUGUUCCUGGGGUGAACCCUGGUCCAGGUAAAUGCACGUCUUAUAAAUCAGAGGUUUUAAAGGCAGGGACACCAUUAGGAAAGUCUAGUCUGACUACACUGGCUAGAAGAUGUCACCCAGGAACUCCUGUGUCAAGAUCAUAACUGAAUUUAAAAGAAGAAAGCAGAAGAAAGACAUCCAACCCUCACUUUAAAAUCUGAGAUGGCAGAGAAGCAACAUCAUCCUUUGGUGAGUUAUUCCAAUGCUAAAAUCUUGUGCUUUUUCCCAUUCUAGGUUUGCCUAGCUUCAGCUUCCAGCCGUGGGAUCAUGUUGUGCUGUUGUCCGCUGCCCAGAAAACCCCCUCUUAUUAGAAAUCCUCACCCAGUUUUGGCAUUUAUAAUCCACUAAUCAAACACUCCCUUAAAUAAACUGAAUACAGUUUCUUUUACUCAGUGGCAGGAUGACCAGAUUAUCAGUCAUUAUUGUAGCUUGAUUGCCUCAGAUUUUCAACAUCCUUUUCUCCUGCAGAGACCAGAGGUGAACAUUGGGUUGUAGAGACUGGUUCCCAAAAAGGCAGGAAGAGGGUAGCACCACCACUCCUAUUUGGUUUUCUGCUCCUUCGUCCAAGAACCACCAUUAUUCUGCUAGGCAGCAUUUCACAACUCUGCAGCAAUUUCCAUUGGUCACUCCUGAUGAAAAAUUGUAUUAGCAAAGUUUGCAUUUCAAACCUAGCUCAUUCAAGUGAAGGCAAUUCUGGCCUGAUUUUGGUCCAGAGCAAUCGUCCCUCCUGCAUCCAGUCACUCACACUGGGACUCUUCAGCUACAGGAUCACAGGGGAGUGGUGAAGAAAGUGAUGAUGUACAUGUCUGAGUUCUAAUGCAGCAGUGAUGUUGUAGGGCUUUGGCAUCUUGUCUGGAAAUAAAAAGAUGGAGAUGUGAAAUGUUUUGCCUUUGCUUUAAUAGCUCAAGUCUUCUGGAUUUGUAUCCUGUCCCUCCUGUGUUUUCAAAGAAUUGAAUCUGUUUGAUUUUUUUAAUCACAGCUGGAGGUAACGUAUUUAAC
Phalacrocorax carbo (great cormorant) is the source of this 5575-nucleotide non-coding RNA. Lineage: Eukaryota; Metazoa; Chordata; Aves; Suliformes; Phalacrocoracidae. The record is from RefSeq and is a predicted model, not a curated record.